Molecule: ribosomal RNA, 459 nt
Filed under: uncultured bacterium
Lineage: Bacteria
Description: partial 16S ribosomal RNA
Rfam family: Bacterial small subunit ribosomal RNA
Source: RNAcentral
CCUACGGGGGGCAGCAGUGGGGAAUAUUGGGCAAUGGAGGCAACUCUGACCCAGCAACGCCGCGUGAAGGAAGAAGGCCUUAGGGUUGUAAACUUAUGUUGCCGGGGAGCAGUGGUCCGGACGCGUCCGGACCGGGAGAGUACCCGGAGAAAAAGCAUCGGCUAACUCCGUGCCAGCAGCCGCGGUAAUACGGAGGAUGCGAGCGUUAUCCGGAUUUAUUGGGUUUAAAGGGUGCGUAGGCGGGCAUUUAAGCCGGCGGUCAAAUGUCGGGGCUCAACCCCGGCCUGCCGUCGGAACUGGGUGCCUUGAGUGGGCGAGAAGUAUGCGGAAUGCGUGGUGUAGCGGUGAAAUGCAUAGAUAUCACGCAGAACCCCGAUUGCGAAGGCAGCAUACCGGCGCCCUACUGACGCUGAGGCACGAAAGUGCGGGUAUCGAACAGGAUUAGAUACCCCAGUAGUC